Non-coding RNA from Mycena vulgaris, 92 nucleotides. The record is from the annotation of a GenBank genome assembly. NCBI's taxonomy places the organism in Eukaryota, Fungi, Basidiomycota, Agaricomycetes, Agaricales, Mycenaceae.
GGCUUCGUAGAUCAAGGUAGAUCGCUCUCUUCCUGUUGUAUCAACUAGGAAAGGUACAAGAGAGAAUGCGGGUUCGAGUCCCGCCGAAGCCG